Molecule: ribosomal RNA, 438 nt
Filed under: uncultured bacterium
Lineage: Bacteria
Description: partial 16S ribosomal RNA
Rfam family: Bacterial small subunit ribosomal RNA
Source: RNAcentral
CUACGGGCUGCUGCAGUGAGGAAUAUUGCACAAUGGGGGGAACCCUGAUGCAGCAACGCCGCGUGGAGGAUGACGCAUUUCGGUGUGUAAACUCCUUUUAUAUGUCAAGAAAAUGACGGUAGCAUAUGAAUAAGCACCGGCUAACUGCGUGCCAGCAGCCGCGGUAAUACGGAGGGUGCAAGCGUUACUCGGAGUCACUGGGCGGAAGGACGCGUAGGCGGGUUGGAAAGUCAGGUGUGAAAUCCUACAGCUUAACUGUAGAACUGCACUUGGAACUUCUAAUCUAGAGUAUGGGAGGGGGAGAUGGAAUUAGUGGUGUAGGGGUAAAAUCCGUAGAUAUCACUAGGAAUACCUAAAGCGAAGGCGAUCUCCUGGAACAUUACUGACGCUAAGGCGUGAAAGCGUGGGGAGCAAACAGGAUUAGAUACCCGUGUAGUC